RNAcentral lists this long non-coding RNA (1408 nucleotides) under Homo sapiens (human). RNAcentral describes it as "HSALNT0388106". Lineage: Eukaryota; Metazoa; Chordata; Mammalia; Primates; Hominidae. The record is from RNAcentral.
GCGAGAGGAGGGCAGAGAUGUGGACCCACACAGAGGCCACGCCGGGGCUGAGCAAGGACGGCCCCGGAUAGGGCGGGCUUAGAGAGGGGCACGGAGGCUGGACCCUGGCCUUGAAGGAGCCCCUGCAAGGGCCUCCUGUUCAGGCUGCUUGGACUCUCAAGCUCUGUCUGCUUUGUUCCUACUUGGCAGAACUGGGCGCCUCUCAGCACUCACUUGGAGACGUGGGGUCGGAACUCUGGUGGCCUGGUGCCUCUCCCAGCCAGGUACUGACUCGUCCCACGACCCGGCAGCAGCCUGAGGAUCUCAGGAAUCUGUCCCCUCGCCUUGCCUUUCCCUGAACACGGGCCCAAUGUGGGCCACCUUCACUCUCGCUUCACACCAAAAGCUAAGAAAGCCUAGAAGGUUCAUACGGGUGGGGCCAGACAGCCCCCAGCUGGCCUUACAGUGUGAAGGGAACUCCCUGAGAGAAGGGAAAGCAAAGCUGUCAUAUCAGGGGUCCCCGGACCCAGCCUUGGUGGGGCCCUGCCCUGCCGACACCCAUGGCUUCCAGCAACAAAGCUGAAUACAGGUGUCUCCGCCUGCACGCGGGCCCCCUCCUGGCACCCUGAAGCCCAGCUGCACCCGCCUGCUCAGGGUCCCUCUCAAAUGCCCCUUGGCCUCUGUGACCUGACCCCUCCAGGAGCCCACCCUGGCCCCUCCCCUCCUCCAUAGGAACUUCACUCAUCCUUGGAGCCCAACCAAGCGUCUUCCUCUGCCCUCCUCCCUUCUGUGCCCUCCUCCCUCCUCCCUUCUGUGCCCUCCUCCCUCCUCCCUGGCAGGGCUCAGGGCCUUGCACUCCUCCAUGAGCUGUCUGUGCUCCUCUGUGCACGGCUCUCAGCCUGAGUCCAGGCACUGCCUCUCCCUGAGUCCCUCACCCCAGACUUGGGGGGCUCUGAGGGCCUGGACUCAUGGGUGUCUUCUAUGCCCAGCACAGGACCUGGAUGAAUGAACACACACCCUUCCUUUCCCAGGCUCUGCCGUGUCUUCUGUCAAAGCAUCAGAAAUCAGGGGCUUUGGCAGGACAACUGAAAUGGUAUAGCGGCUGCAGCAAAGCCUGGAGUCCAACUUACGUCCACGUCUCACAAGGUACAUCUUCAUAACAUGUGCCACUCCUGGCUCUUUUAUUUUCCUGCCACUCACUUUUUCUUAUUUUUAACAGAUAUUCCUUGCAACGUUGCUUGCAUAUUUGUUAAGUGGCCACUAAAUCCCUUCUGGAACUAGGCAGGGAGAAAAUCAGUCGAUUGACCGAUACAAGACAGAAUGAAGUGAUAAUCGCUACCUUUCACUGAGUGCUUUCUAUGUGCCAGGGACAAUCCUAGACAUUUUUUAUUUUUUUAGAUGGAGUUUUGCUCAUGUCACCCAGGCUGGA